Long non-coding RNA from Drosophila mauritiana, 351 nucleotides. RefSeq lists it as uncharacterized. The transcript is spliced from 4 exons. The record is from RefSeq and is a predicted model, not a curated record. Lineage: Eukaryota; Metazoa; Arthropoda; Insecta; Diptera; Drosophilidae.
CUGUCUCGUUUUGGCAGAGGAGUCGUCAGUGAUGAUUGUGGCUUGGUCGUUCAUCUAGAGUGGCUAGGUGCGCCGCGUUUUGUGGCCAUUUCGCCAGGGUUUGCAGCUUGGAGCCUCCGGAACGUGAUUAGUUGCCGAGGGCCGUCGCAACGAUUGGGGCCGUGGAAAUGGAAGUAAAAUUAGAGAUUGGGUACAUUUGGUGGGAGGUACAUUAGGUGGAAGCUAAUCUGGUGGUACGUUUUGUAACCCUUUGUUUUUGAAACAUAGCAACGGAAGAGCCGCGGGUUUAGUGUCGUCGUUGUUGUUGCUGCUGGCUUCACUUUUAGAUACUGUUGCGCGCGAGUUACCACC